GCUGCGCUGUGCGCUGCGCAGUUCAUGAGUUCACAUCAAAAUGGCGCUCGCUCACUCGCUGUGCGUAGAACGUAGUACUUGUGUAAACGUGUAAAUAAAUUGGAGAUAGCAUACAAGAAAACAGAAAGGGUUCGCGGUUCACCUUUUUUGUAACGGUUUCCUCGGCGUCCUUUACAAAGUCCAGUUGAUAUCGUGUCCUGUCCACGUCCAGGGUGGAUCAGACCUGAUCUACAAAAUCUUGGAGCAGCCGCUUUCGUCGUAUGCCAUUAAAAAAAUUAAAACAUGCCCGUUAUUAAAAUUUGGUCAGUAGACCAAACAAUCAAGAAAGCUGUUCCAAUAAUGGACCCAACUUUAAAAAAUAUCAUUGAAAAAGGUGAGUAAAUCUAAAUUAAUUUGACUUUUCGUAAUGAAAUAUUUUUUGUGUAAUUGUAGAAUGUAGUGUAUUGUAGAAUAGACUAUAAUUGGAUACCUACUGUUAAGCAUUAAUGUGCUGACUCAAACCACAUUUAUUUUGCAGUAUGAUGUCAAUUUAAAAAUUUGACGCUUGAAGUUGACAAGAUAGAGCUGAUGCUGAACCCUGGCUGUACCUAGUGGAACUCAGGUUUGGUGCAACAUAGGCCCACGCUAUUUUGAUCAUCCGUCACAUAGAGGGAGAGCAAUACCCAAGAUAUAAUUCAUAAUCCAUUUUCUUCCAGAUGAGGUACCAUCCUAAAUAUAGUAGUUCCAUUUACUAAUCUUAUUAACUUUUUCUUUUCCAGGAACCAUUAACCAGGGUUCAAGUUGCAGAGCUAUCCGAAAUAGCUGCGCCUAACAUUGUAUUUUUAGAUAAUGAAAAUAUAAUUAUAUUACUUGCUGGUAGAAAAAACGAUUGUUAGCGAAACAGAUUCUGCCUACGUCGUUACAACUAUUGAUGGCGGCUUACUGCAACUUGAAUAUGGAAUAUCCAGUGGACUGUCAAAACACAUUAGAAUUUAUACAAAGGUAUAUUUUUAUUAAAAUAAAUCCUAAAGAAGGAAGUCAUAAGUAAUCGUUUUUGAUUUUUAAAAAGCGUUUUUCAAUUAAAAGACAUGUCAAGAUCGCUUAACUUCUUGCAAGUUCUUUCUAAUGCUAAAAAAACUAACUAUAAUUAAUGUCAGUAACAAACAUUUUCAGACAAUUCGUUACUUGAAAUGGUAUAGGUUUCACGCAUUAGAUUCACAUAGGCCUUAUUAACCGAAACUUUUAUAAGACUAAUUCAUAAGAAGUACUUAUGUACAUAAGAUAUAAUUUAUAGUGUCGUAUAUGUCUUCUACUUUUUGUACUCUGUCACAGAAUAAAUAAUAAUAAUAUGCACGUAGACGUGUAUAUACGCGUGUGCUCUAUAAUUUGAGUGUGUGAAAUUCAAUAAAUUUAUUUCUUUGUAA
This is a long non-coding RNA of Cydia fagiglandana, 1403 nucleotides long. RefSeq lists it as uncharacterized. Lineage: Eukaryota; Metazoa; Arthropoda; Insecta; Lepidoptera; Tortricidae. The record is from RefSeq and is a predicted model, not a curated record. The transcript has 4 exons.